CUACGGGAGGCUGCAGCUAAGAAUCUUCCGCAAUGGACGAAAGUCUGACGGAGCGACGCCGCGUGAACGAAGAAGGCCUAACGGUUGUAAAGUUCUUUUCUUGUGGAGGAAUAAUGGUAGUAGGGAAUGACUAUCAGAUGACGUUAAACAAGGAAUAAGCCCCGGCUAAUUACGUGCCAGCAGCCGCGGUAACACGGUAAGGGGCAAGCGUUGUUCGGAUUCAUUGGGCGUAAAGGGCGUGUAGGCGGCAUGGCAAGUAUGGUGUGAACUAUCCCGGCUCAACCGGGAAACCGCGCUGGAAACUGCCAAGCUAGAGUAUAGGAAGGGAAGCUAGAAUUCCAGGUGUAGGGGUGAAAUCUGUAGAUAUCUGGAAGAAUACCGGUGGCGAAGGCGAGCUUCUGGCCAUAUACUGACGCUGAGACGCGAAAGCGUGGGGAGCGAACAGGAUUAGAUACCCGGGUAGUC
Molecule: ribosomal RNA, 465 nt
Filed under: uncultured bacterium
Lineage: Bacteria
Description: partial 16S ribosomal RNA
Rfam family: Bacterial small subunit ribosomal RNA
Source: RNAcentral